GACAGAGGGUGCAAACGUUGCUCGGAAUCACUGGGCGUAAAGGGCGUGUAGGCGGGAAGGAAAGUCAGAUGUGAAAUCCCCAGGCUCAACCUGGGAACUGCAUUUGAAACUCCCUUUCUUGAGUACCGGAGAGGAAAGUGGAAUUCCUGGUGUAGCGGUGAAAUGCGCAGAUAUCAGGAGGAACACCGGUGGCGAAGGCGGAUCUCUGGGCCUUACCUGACGCUCAGGUGCGAAAGCUAGGGGAGCGAACAGG
RNAcentral lists this ribosomal RNA (253 nucleotides) under uncultured bacterium. RNAcentral describes it as "partial 16S ribosomal RNA". It matches the Rfam family "Bacterial small subunit ribosomal RNA", at positions 524 to 776 of the family's 1533-position model. The record is from RNAcentral.